RNAcentral lists this non-coding RNA (24 nucleotides) under Arabidopsis thaliana (thale cress). Lineage: Eukaryota; Viridiplantae; Streptophyta; Magnoliopsida; Brassicales; Brassicaceae. The record is from RNAcentral.
CAAAUUGUAAGGUCCAAAUUAAUG